UUUUAGAUAAUAAUUUAAAGUCUAAUCUGCCCACUGAAUAUAUUUUGAAGGGCCGCGGUAUAUUGACUGUGCAAAGGUAGCAUAAUCAUUUGUCUUUUAAUUGAAGGCUUGAAUGAAUGAUUGAAUAAGGUGUAAUCUGUCUCAUUUUAAUAAAUUUAAAAAUUUAAUUUUUUAGUUAAAAAGCUAAAAUAAUUUUAAAAGACGAGAAGACCCUAUAGAUUUUUAUAAUAUAUUAUUUAUAAUAUUUGAGAAAGUAAAUUUGUUGUAGAUUAUUUAUUAUUUCGUUGGGGUGACAGGAAAAUUUAUUAAACUAUUUUUAUUUUUAUACAAUGAUAUUUGUUUUUUUGAUCCAAUUUUAUUGAUUAAAAGAUUAAAUUACCUUAGGGAUAACAGCGUAAUUUUUUUAGAGAGUUCUUAUCGAUAAAAAAGAUUGCGACCUCGAUGUUGAAUUAAAAAUUAAUUUUAAAUGCAGAAGUUUAAAAAUUAGGUCUGUUCGACCUUUGAAUUUUU
Molecule: ribosomal RNA, 510 nt
Filed under: Nevrorthus iridipennis
Lineage: Eukaryota; Metazoa; Arthropoda; Insecta; Neuroptera; Nevrorthidae
Description: partial 16S ribosomal RNA
Rfam family: Bacterial large subunit ribosomal RNA (bases 386-510)
Source: RNAcentral